UGAAAUUGAGCGAUUCAUAUUGUACGUCAAAUAUAUUGCGUAGUUAUCUUCUAUCUCGUAGAGAUAGAAAGUAUAAAAAUUUCCAAUCCAGGGAAACGAUUAAGAUGAUAUAUCUGACGUACGGAAUGUCUACAAAUCGUCGUAGAAAGUGGACUGCACGCGACGCGGUUAGAAAUCUCUUUGGAAUUUCUCCAUCGCUGUCUCGGGCGCAAAAACGGAUCACUCUCUAAAAACUUCUCUUCUCGAUGAGAACAGUUUCCUCGGGAUAUUAAAUUUAUCUCGUGAACGAAACGAAAUCUUACUUCUGAGAAAGAAAUAAAGAUUGUCUAUAAGUCUGUCAUAGUAUAGAUCGCUCGAUUAUAGAUUACAACAUUCUGAUAUUUUUAAGUUUUUUAUUUAAAUAUUUAACACAAUUGGAUAAAUUAUCUAUUUAUAAAAAGAAUAACAUUUAUUAUCGACGGAUGGUAAUAAGAAGAUUUCGAUAGAAUAAUAGAAUAAUAUAAAUUACUAAAUAACAAAAAAUAACUAGCAAUGGAACUAGAUAAAAUAAUUUUAAUCGUAAAUGAUAAGAAUAAUUAGGCAAAAUAUCUAGAAAUGAAUACAGACGACAAUAAGAAUUUUAAUCGCGAUAUUAAAAAUAUCAAGAAUAAAUAGGCAAAAAUAACUAUAUAUAAUAAAACUAGAACAAGUCGUUAUAAUAUCAAACGUCUCAGUACCCGUCCAUCCAAGUAAUAUCUCGAAUGUUUCAUUUCUCUCGGAACGAUAAUAAAGAGUAGUAGUAAUCUCGCGGAGGAGGCUCGUGAUACUCGACUUCAUUCAUCGAUUCCAACGUAUAUACGUACACAAUUUUCCCUUUCCUAUACUAUUCGUUGCCUCCUUGUGGCACGAAUUCGGCACACACGAAGACACACAAACCUCGCCAGACAUCCGAACAAUUUCCUUUUCUUCUUCGAGCGUGGCGCCGCCUUUGUGAUCCUGCAGAACGUUAUGACACCAUUGCCACAUUUCGAAGAUUUCUCAGUAAUUUGCAUUUCAAUCUCCAAGAUAAUGCACAUGGGACUUCGAUUCAAAACAUCUUUAAUAUUUUCCAGUUAAAGGCUGAAAAACUAUUAAUCAGAACGAAACUCGAAAAUAUUUCAUAUUAAACAAUUUCAUAUUAUUGUAACACGACGAUACUUGCUACAAAAGCUUACAAUUCUUUCAUUAUGAGAAAUAGUAAACGUGUAAGAAGAACAGUGAAAUCGAAGAUCUAAGUGAGACAAAGCCGCAUAUUUUUUCAUGCUUAACCAAAUUAAUACGACUUCCUCGAGUAUUCAUCAAACAUCUCGCACCAAUUGAAAUUUUCUCAGACAGUGUUCGAAUACAUUUCCACGAGAAGAAGAUAUUUCCAAGCCUUCGUUUUCAUCUAAAGAAUUAAAGACGAUGUUUCCAACGUGUCGGAAGAGUAUCUUUCACGCAACGUUCCUCUCUCUCUUCUUCUGCAUAUUGGUGCAUUAGAGCGUGCAUGCACGAUGAUAUUAAGAUGGUAGCGUAAUUAACGAAAUAUUGUUCUCUCUGGUUCGAAACAGAGAUAUCUCGAUAUUUCGAUAUUUUAAUUUUCCAGGUGACCAUUUUUGUGCUUUGAAUUCACUCUCGGUGGCGACAAAUGACAAAAUUUCAUUGUUUCUGAAAUAAAUUCAACGAUACGUGUUUUUAAGAAGAAUCAUAUGAUUGCAAAGAGAAAAAUUACAAAAAUUAAUAUUUUUAUUAGAUUCGAAUUCGGUGUACCUUUAUCUUUAAGAAACCUUUCCAUUCUCUGUGCAGUCAUUUUUUCAUUCAAAAUAUUCAAAUACUUUUUAAAAUUAAUAUUAACUUCAAGCAUAAUUACUUUUACAAUAUCCUAACUUUCAUCUUAAUUGUGUAUAACAUUUUUGAAUAAAUUUCAUAAAUUGAUAGUUCUAGUUGCAUACAAUUAUGAAUUAAUUUCAUAAAACAUGGAAAGUAUUAUUUUGUUGCACACUGUACAAUCUUUGAUUUCUUAUUUAUAGUUCAAUCACGUGUACAAUUUUUCAAAUAUUCUUCUCCAUGUGGAUAUAAAUAUCUGAUUUUCUUUUUCUCUUUCUUUUCAUUUUUUCGUUUUUUGCAGCUUUUCUAUAAAAGCAUCCAAUAUCACAAGCAGUUCUUUAUAAUUAAAGCAGUCCUUUAUAAUUUUUCAGUAAUAUCCAGGGAAAAUUCAGGGACGGUGGAAACGUUUGUUUGCUGUUUAAUCCUUUGGAAUAGGAAUAAUUCAAGCUGAAGCACUCUCGAGGAAAAAAGAGCUGUGAAUUUGGAAAAAAUGUAACGUGACACACGUUAGAGGAGUAUUAUCUUCAGGUAUAUCAUAAUAACGUGCAAUUUGUAAAAUAAAUUAACGAAUUCUCUUUUAAAUAUUUGUAAUUAUUUAUUUAUAGCGAAAGAGUGAAAUUUAAAAAUCUCUAGUAGUUCGAUUCAUUAAUUAUUAUUGAAAAUUCUUGGUCGAUUGUCGAAGAGAAAAAAUUCUAGAAUUUUGAUUUAAUCAUUUGAUUCGGCUGGCUUAACCGACUUAAAGGUAAACGAUAACGAAAAUUAGACAAGUUUGGAUGAUAAAGAUUUAUCUCCUGAUCGACUUAUCCCAAUCUAAUUACGAUAACGAAAAUUACAUAAGUUUGGACUAGGACUAUGGAUUGCUCCAGAUUCAUAUCCAAAAUUUUAACACAAACUUUCCAUAGAAAAACUUCAAAACGCAAUUUCCAAAUUUAAUUUUAAAAAAAAAUUCACUCUCACUUCCCUUACAUUCUGCUCGAAUUAAAAUCUCGAAGAUUUCUAAUCGUUUUCCAUUCCAGAUUGAACGAUCGAAUCUCUCGGCCUCUCGAAUUCUUUUAUUCAAAAAUGCUUUUCGCCAAAGUAAGAACGGAGAGGAAGGAUUACCGAAUAAGGAUAAAAAUCGAGAAGAGGAUAGAUUUCCACGUCGACGACGAGUGCAAGAGCGUCAGUGAGAGUUUGACCACUUGGGAAUCGAAUCCUCGCGCGACCUCGACUUUCCCUUACCCCCCAUUUGACACGUUAAAGAGCCGAGGGAAUGUUGGAUUUAUCGUCGUUUUUUUCUAACCCCUUGGAUAACAAAAAUCCAAGUGGGUAUAAAAUAAAAUGAAACAAUUUGACACAUCAAUCUCACGCUUAAAUUAAUGUAAUUGUAUUAAAUUUCGAAAGAGGAUGGAUAUUUUGGAAAAUUUAUGAAAUAAGGAUUUCAAGAAUGCAUACUAAUCAACAUACUAAGAAACAAUGGACAGAGAAUUUGGGAUUUUGUGGACAUGAAUGGACAAGCUGAUGAACUCUCGAGCUUGCACGAGGAUGAUCUGCGAUAAUUAUGCGAGUGUCUUGGCACACUCUUGAUCUUGAGGAUACAGAAAAUCAAUCUCAACAAUUCUAGAACAUUAUAUACAUAUGUAUAUAUAUAUAUAUUGAAAAAUUUAUUUUUAAAAUUUCUUGAGAAAUAUUUGAUAAUUGGUUAUCGAUCUUACGUGGAAGAUAAGAAAUGGUGUUUGCCGAACAAUGGACAGAAACGUGGGACACGUAUCAAGUUUGGAAACGGGUUAAUUGGUCGGAGGAACGAAUCGACCGACAUCGACCAGAUUUUAUCGGUUUAUUCCUCGAGAAUCGUGGAUCCAGAAUCCUGUGAACCGGAUAAAAAGUAUCUUCCACGAUAUCGACGCUCUCUCUCACGAUGGCAGGAGUUGGAUUUAAUUGGCUUGGCCGGCCAGAUGACCUGUAAUAAAUCGUAGAAAAUAACAGUCGAA
Molecule: long non-coding RNA, 3794 nt
Filed under: Apis dorsata (giant honeybee)
Lineage: Eukaryota; Metazoa; Arthropoda; Insecta; Hymenoptera; Apidae
Description: uncharacterized LOC116186224, transcript variant X1
Source: RNAcentral